Molecule: long non-coding RNA, 1709 nt
Organism: Anguilla rostrata (American eel)
Lineage: Eukaryota; Metazoa; Chordata; Actinopteri; Anguilliformes; Anguillidae
Exons: 2
Source: RefSeq, a predicted model, not a curated record
GAAGCGGGCGCGGCAGUGUUUUCGAUUUGGAGCCAAAACCAUAGAGUUCAGUUGUUCUGUGAUGUUUACAGUGUGAUUGACAGUCCGGUGCGGAAAAGCCCAUCAACCCGAACGAACGAUUGCAGAACGAACUUGAGGUUGUGAACAGUGGCUGGGAAGGAGAAUUCCACAAGACAAGGAAGGUCAUAAAAGGAAGCUGGAAAGACAGUAAGACAACAUAACCCGAGGGACAGUCUUGCAACCUUUCUUACCCCAACACUCCUGGCCAGGAGGAACAGAUGGGCAACACAUGGUCUGUUUUUGUGUUGUGAAAAGCUCCGACAGGCAUCAAUGGCUCAAACGACGGAAACCUGGUUGACCAUUAGCCACAUUAUGGACUCAAAGGAUUAUAUGCAUGUGCAUGUAAAUAAUGAUGGACGAUAUGGUAAACGUGGUGGAAUGUAAAUAUCAAAUAAAUUGCAGGAGAUACGUGUUAUAUACAGGCACACUAAGCUUUACGAUCCCGAGUAUGUAUGGCGAAGUAAAAUAUUUUUAUAUAUAGAUGUGUGCACACAAAUGCAUGGAUCAUAGAAGGACCACGACCACACACUAGAUUCAGGCACCAGACACUAGACUAACACUAGAUUCAGACACCAGACACUAAACUAACACUAGAUUCCAAGUUAGGAGGGACCUUUGGGUAUUGUGUAACAAGUCUCAGACUUCAGAGUUUCUAGUAGUAGAAUGAAAGUCAUUCAUAAGAGACCUCAGAAUACUGAAUAACAAUUUUCAGACCUCUUGAGUUUCUAGCGAAAGAGUCCAAGAUAUUUAAUCUCCGAGUCAUCCUGAAGCCAAUGCCAUCAGUACCUGUAACAGGUUUUAAGAGCUCUGAGUGUCUCACAACUUAAAAACAAAUCCCCCCAACCUCUGGGACUAAUCCAGAGGGGUGGCUGGUGCCAGUCAUGGACACAGAGAUCCAGGUAUGUUGCCUAGCACCAAAGCAUAUGCAUCUGGUUAUCUCUGGGCAUAUCAUGUUUUCUAUAGUACCCUUCCCCACUCUUUCUAACAAAAUUUCCUAAACAUAUUUUGAACAGAUUUUGAAAUUAAAUGGAGUCAGAUAAAUGUGUGUUUUCCUACCUGCCACAAAAUCUUAAUCCUUAAAAAUAUACAUUUAAAUGCAGUCGCAACAUCACUGGUAUUUUAAUUCCCUGCAGCUACCUGUGUUUGUUUGUUAAUGAAAUACGAUGUCAAGCUGCAUUGUUUAAGUCUUAAUUUUGGCUACUUCAUGAGUAUGCUCCUGAACAUACUUACAGAAAGCAUUAGUUUUUCAUACAGAUAUUUUAAGUACACUUACAUUUUAAGUACAAUUUUCUAAAAUGUUGUACUUAUUUUAAAGUAUACUCAACUUGCACACUCAGGAGUAGGCAGGUGUGCUGAUUUGCACACUGUCAUAGAAUUUCGAACUCCACACUACCCGCAUUAUGUCACACUUUGACUCAUCAACCAGUUGGGAUUAGGCCAGCAAAAUGUUAGCUUUGGCUGUGUCCAAAACAGCCUAACUACUGUGUCCUCAAAAUAUGUACUGUUUAAUAACGUGCUGCCUACGGUUUAGUGCAGAUUUUUUAGUAUGUGAUGAGCAGUAUAUGAAAAAUAUCCUCCAUACUAUAUUCCAAUGGUACUGCGAAAGUGUUGCAGGAGAAAAUAAAUAAAUAAACUCUGUAAAAAUGAAA